Molecule: ribosomal RNA, 450 nt
Filed under: uncultured Glomeromycotina
Lineage: Eukaryota; Fungi; Glomeromycota
Description: SSU rRNA
Rfam family: Eukaryotic small subunit ribosomal RNA
Source: RNAcentral
AGCAGCCGCGGUAAUUCCAGCUCCAAUAGCGUAUAUUAAAGUUGUUGCAGUUAAAAAGCUCGUAGUUGAAUUUCGGGAUUAGUACGCUGGUCAUGCCUUCGGUAUGUACUGGUGUUACUGAUUCCUACCUUCUGACGAACUGUCAUGUCAUUCAUUUGGUGUGGCGGGGAAUCAGGACUGUUACUUUGAAAAAAUUAGAGUGUUUAAAGCAGGCUCGCGCUUGAAUACAUUAGCAUGGAAUAAUGAAAUAGGACGUUCGAUCCUAUUUUGUUGGUUUCUAGGAUUGACGUAAUGAUUAAUAGGGAUAGUUGGGGGCAUUAGUAUUCAAUUGUCAGAGGUGAAAUUCUUGGAUUUAUUGAAGACUAACUACUGCGAAAGCAUUUGCCAAGGAUGUUUUCAUUAAUCAAGAACGAAAGUUAGGGGAUCGAAGACGAUCAGAUACCGUCGUAG